Molecule: ribosomal RNA, 253 nt
Filed under: uncultured bacterium
Lineage: Bacteria
Description: partial 16S ribosomal RNA
Rfam family: Bacterial small subunit ribosomal RNA
Source: RNAcentral
UACAGAGGUCUCAAGCGUUGUUCGGAUUCAUUGGGCGUAAAGGGUGCGUAGGCGGCGCGGUAAGUCGGGUGUGAAAUCUCGGAGCUUAACUCCGAAACUGCAUUCGAUACUGCUGUGCUUGAGGACUGGAGAGGAGACUGGAAUUUACGGUGUAGCGGUGAAAUGCGUAGAUAUCGUAAGGAAGACCAGUGGCGAAGGCGGCGCUCUGGGCCGGAACUGACGCUGAGGAGCGAAAGCGUGGGUAGCAAACAGG